Molecule: transfer RNA, 64 nt
Filed under: Cucujoidea sp. 11 KM-2017
Lineage: Eukaryota; Metazoa; Arthropoda; Insecta; Coleoptera
Description: tRNA-Asp
Source: RNAcentral
AAAAACUUAGUUAAUUUAUAACAUUAGAUUGUCAUUCUAAAAUAACUAAUUUUAGUAGUUUUUA